RNAcentral lists this long non-coding RNA (261 nucleotides) under Elaeis guineensis (African oil palm). Its description in RNAcentral is "long non-coding RNA (EGUI_LNC007642)". Lineage: Eukaryota; Viridiplantae; Streptophyta; Magnoliopsida; Arecales; Arecaceae. The record is from RNAcentral.
UGCAGAUCGCUAUGGAGUUUGUUAGAUAAUAGCUUGUAAUAUAUUGAUGUUGCUUCUUUGAUUCCCUAUUGAUCCAUCGUCAGCCUUUCUUGUUGGUUGUGUCCAGGAUGUUACCAUCAUUUAGUUCUUCAGCCUGCUUCAUCAAGCACAACUAUGCACAAUUUUUACAUUUAUGUGCUACAGUUAGAAGCAAUUCUAUAUUUGUGUAGCACUUUUGUUCCAGCUUUGCAACUGUACUGACUAUAAAAAAAUAUGGGAGAA